AUAAAAUAAUAGUUAUCGCCUUGUAUAAGUUCAAGAAUAUGGCUUGAACGUUUCUACCAGCUACCUUUAAAUAGCCUGUCUACAAGGAGUGAAAAUAUGUAU
Regulatory RNA element from Bacilli bacterium VT-13-104, 102 nucleotides. It matches the Rfam family "Purine riboswitch aptamer". Rfam says of the family: Riboswitches are metabolite binding domains within certain messenger RNAs that serve as precision sensors for their corresponding targets. The record is from Rfam. NCBI's taxonomy places the organism in Bacteria, Bacillati, Bacillota, Bacilli.